GAACUAAGCCAGCUGGCGAAGCAGGUGCCCCCAUCCUCUCUCCCUCCAUGUGCAUGUCCCUCCCAAAGCUCCUUGCUUUGUCAAAGAGAACAACCUUUCCUGAGAGAGGAGGAACCUUCUUCAGUGAAGGACAUAUGAGUAGCUGCUCUCCCUGCUAGAACCUCCAAGCAAUCUCUCAAAAUGGACAGGAGAUCUUUUCUACUAUACUCUAGUCUGAUCUGGUAGGAUGUACUGGUAAUAUCU
RNAcentral lists this small nuclear RNA (243 nucleotides) under Castor canadensis (American beaver). Its description in RNAcentral is "7SK RNA (ENSCCNG00000011918.1)". It matches the Rfam family "7SK RNA", at positions 59 to 331 of the family's 331-position model. Rfam says of the family: 7SK was discovered as an abundant small nuclear RNA in the mid-70s but a possible function has only recently been suggested. Two independent studies have found that 7SK RNA binds the CDK9/cyclin T complex (known as elongation factor P-TEFb). P-TEFb activates transcription by phosphorylating the C-terminal domain of RNA polymerase II. The record is from Rfam by way of RNAcentral. Lineage: Eukaryota; Metazoa; Chordata; Mammalia; Rodentia; Castoridae.